GAAUAAUAUCCACAAUGCCAAGCGCAGCAUCUGACACAGACAGUGCCAGAGCCUAAACUAUAAACAUGGAGAUAUUUGGAACUUUGGAACCUCUGAGAGUCUAAUGCAUCAGAACUAGCACAGAAGAGGAGUCUUAGAAACCGGAUUCUCAAUCUGAGCUUCAACCCUACCAGCUAGAGAUCCUGAAUUCUUGUGAAUGAAGCAGAAUCAUUGAUUGAGCAACUGGAAAUGAAUGCAAAAGUAGAAGAUGCACAUUGUGAAUCUCCUAAGAAGCAAAUAUGAAUCCAUUCCUUCCUCCUCUCCAAGAAAUUUCUCAGGGCAACGGAGUCUACUGAUGCAUGAGCACUCAAAAGACACCAUAAGGCGUUUGCUGCAUGACUUAAUUCUUUUUUGGACACAGAGCAGAUUUUGAUGACUUACUAUGAUCAUUUUAAAUUCAGAACACUGCAUCGCCAGCAUUUAGGAAUUGCACUAAAGGAAAGUGAGAAGUGAAAAAUGCGAAAUGAUUGUCAUGGUCACCACACAUCCAAGAUUUUCUGCGACAGUCCCAAUUUCAAAGAUUUUACCUUGUUAUUCCUUUAAUUAUACUCUUUCUUAUUAGACCAACUAGUCAGGUUUGGAAAAACUGUUUUUAAAGGGCCACUGUUAUUCUUAGGUAUAUGUUAAUUAAUAUUUUACAAAACCAAAGAAAGUCUUUAGAAUAUUACGUGAAUAUUCUGUUCAUUCUUUUCUUUUUUAGAGAUGAGGUCUUGCUCUGUCACCCAGGCUGGAGUGCAGUGGUGCCAUCAUAGCUCACUAUAGCCUCAAACUACUGGGCUCAAGCUACCCUCCGACCUUGGCCUCCCAAAGUGCUGGGAUUAUAGGAGUGAGACACCAUGCCUGGCCCACAUGAAUGUUUUCUUAAUUAUCCUAGGAAAAGUAAAUUCCUUUAUUACAAAUUAUGGGAAAAUACCUGAACAGUGUAGUUCUUGGAAUGAUAUUGAUGAUUGCUUUAGUAAUUUUCACAUUAUUGUAAUGGUACUUGUUAGCUGGAAUUUUGUAAUUGUCAAUUACAUGAUCACAACAUGCAGACACACCAAAAUAUUUUUGUUUCUUCUCCUUCUUUUUUUUUUUUUUGAGACAGAGUCUAGCUCUUUUGGCUAGGCUGGAGUGCAGUGGUGUGAUCUCGGCUCACUACAAUCUCCACCUCCUGGGUUCAAGCAAUUCUCCUGUCUCAGCCUCCUCUGCGCCUGGCCACCCUUAAACAUUUUUGUGACAAUUUUCAUGUGUAAUUCUUACAUUGCUGAAAAUUGAUUUGGGUUAAAAGUGAACCUUCAGGCCCGGUGCGGUGGCUCACACCUGUAAUUCCAACACUUUGGGAGGUCGAGGUGGGUGGAUCACUUGAGGUCAGGAGUUUGAGACCAGCCUGGCCAACAUGGGGAAACCCCAUCUCUACUAAAAACACAAAAAUUAGCCAGGCAUGGUGGCUCACACCUGUAAUCCCAGCUACUUGGGAGGCUGAGGCAGGAGAAUCGCUUGAACCUGGGAGGUGACCGUUGCAGUGAGCCAAGAUAGAGCCACUAUCCUCCAGCCUGGGUGACAGAGUAGGACUUCAUCUCAAAAAAACAAACAAACAAACAAACAAAAAAACCUUUAGAUGGCCUCUCUAGAAGUGGAAGUCAUGGAAAAAUUUGAAAAAUUUCAUUAAUUCCAAAAUGCUUUUAAAUUAAUUUUGAAAAGCAGCAGUUUAACACAUGGAAAUGCUACUUCUUCCUGUAUAUUAAACUUGCUAAAGAAUUUAGAGCUUGUUAGGCAUAUUCUGCAUUGAGAAGCAAUAGUUUAUUAUGUUUUGCCUGUCAAUGCGAAUGUUUUUGUUUAUAUCAUUCUGAGGAUCAUUCGUUUUUCACUUACUGUUCAAUACUAAUUAAUAUUUAUUUGUCAUUAAGCACUUUACAUCAUCAUUUGUCUAGUACUUGGCAAUUUAACUCACUUUCCCAUUUGUUCUGUGCAAAAUGAUUUGCACAAAACUUCUCAAUUCCAUUCUUCCUUUCCCUGCCCUAAGGGCUAAGGGCUUAUUACUAUGCAGUAAGUUGAAGAGGUCAACGGUGUCAGCCAAUGGAUUUCCCCCUACCAAAACCUUUCCUGCCCUUCCAAGGUAGGGGCGAGAUUCAGACAUUUGGGGUGGAUUAUCUGAAGUUUUGUCCUCAUUUAGCUAGAUCAAAAUAUGGUAGAAAGACCAGGGGCUUCAUAAUCACACAAACAAAGUUUUGAAUUCUCAUCCUGUUGUAUAUGGACCUUAUUCCAAACCACUCUAAGACUUAGUUUCAACAUCUUUAAUAAGGGGACAAUACUAACUAAGCUCAUGCAAUUUUUUGAAGAUUAAUAUAUCUAAAGCACCCAGAUUUAGUACCUUACGCAUAUUAGGCUCUGAAUAAAGUUAGCUAAUUUGGGUGAAUAAUAAAUAAGUGUAGGAAGAACAACACAAAAGAGAAUUUAGAAGUAAAUUAACAAGGCAUCUUUUGUGUCUAGGUAGUAUGGUACAGUGGAAAAUGGAUGAGGACCAAUCUGCCUUCAUCAGGCUUCCCAACCAACUGAACGUUCCCCUAAUCUGUGAAAAUGAGCAUAAUCACGCUACUUCAUGGAGUGAUCAUGAUAUAGUUAGGCUCAUCAUAUGAGAUCUUACUUUCCCUUUUCUUGCUUCCCCUUUAAUACUCUUUUAAAAACCAAAAAAGAGAAUUUUAGACCAAUAUCCUUGAUGAACAUUGCUGCAAAAAUCCUCAAUAAAAUACUGG
Molecule: long non-coding RNA, 2771 nt
Filed under: Homo sapiens (human)
Lineage: Eukaryota; Metazoa; Chordata; Mammalia; Primates; Hominidae
Description: HSALNT0139334
Source: RNAcentral